CUAUUCAGACUAGCCAUGCACGUCUAGUACAAACUAAAUGAUGGUGAAACUGCAAAUGGCUCAUUACAACGGUUAUGAUGUACCCGGGAGUUCCGAUGGAUAUUUCCAGUAACACUAGAACUAAUACAUGUCCCUGCGUUUAUUAGUUUCGCACAGUCCGUCGCUGAGUCAUGGUAAACAGUUGAUCGACUCGACGUCCCGGAACAGUUUCCGCCCCAUCAGCUUCGAUGGUUGGGUAUUGGCCUACCAUUGCAACAACGGGUAACGAGGAAUUAGGGUUUGAUUUCGGAGAGGGAGCCUGAGAAACGGCUACCACAUCUACGGAUGGCAGCAGGCGCGCAAAUUACCCAAUGCAGACACUGUGAGGUAGUGACGAGAAAUAAUAAAGCGGGACUUCUGUUUCGCUAUUAUAAUGAGGAAUAACCAAAGGUCAUUCCGAUUAGCAACUGAUGGGAAAGUCUGGUGCCAGCAGCCGCGGUAAUACCAGCGUCAGUAGCAUA
Molecule: ribosomal RNA, 500 nt
Filed under: uncultured Myrionecta
Lineage: Eukaryota; Ciliophora; Litostomatea; Cyclotrichida; Mesodiniidae
Description: SSU rRNA
Rfam family: Eukaryotic small subunit ribosomal RNA
Source: RNAcentral